UACCCAUGCCCCUCACCCAUCUCAGCAGUAUCGUCGGCUAUAUGUUAUCACCGACGGUGAGGUCAACGAUCCACACAGUCUCUCUCUUUCUCUCCAUUUUUCCCCUCUUUCUUUCUUUCUCUCUCUCGCCUUCCCAUCUUCACCGUGUCAUCCUUCAUCGUCUGCUACACCAACCACCAUCAACCAAGCCCCAUUUCCACCAUCCCACUAUGGCGACCCUUAUUGCCAUCAUUCUUGUUGCCCAUCAUUGACAGCCACUUAUCACCACCCAUAUUAGCUUCACCACACCUCCUUUCCAUUCGCCACCUAUGGUCGUCAUUCUCAUGUUCGCACGACUACCAUCAUUACUCAUCAUCCCUCUUCCUUUCACAGGCUUCCACCACCGCACCUCAACACACUGCCACCAACUAUGUAUUUUCUUGUGGAGAAGCAACAAGAAAAAAGAACUAAUAAAGUGAGAGCUUUGAAUAUCCUAUUCUUUGAAUUUGUUCUUUUAGUUUGUUAUUUUCUAAGAUUUCACAAUAUUCAUGUAUUGGUGAAUUUUACUCUAUUAUCUUCUGUAUUAUCUUUCACUUUAUCUUUCCCCUUUUUACUCUCUUUGAUUGUAGAAAAACUAAGGAAGAUAACUGUAUAAAAAAAAUUAAUAAUAAAUAAAAAAUCUUGGAAUAUCCCAUUUUAGAAUUUUUUUUCCCCGCUCUUUUCUAACAUUUUAUCGUAAGCUAGCAAAAUGUUUAUUUGGUUCACAAUCUUGAAACUUGAAAUUAAUAUUCAAUUUCAUUUUUAUGUUUCAAAUUAAGUUUAUAGGCAUCAAUGGUUACUGCAAUUAUGUGUCUCAUUUUUGUUGUGCCAAAAAUAAUGUGAUAUCUAAUGAGUUCUUUUUUAAACUUUUGUUUUCAUUUUUUGCUAGUAAAGGCUAAUGUUUCAUUUUCUUUAUAUUGAUUUCUAUGUUGAUCUAUAAUAUUUGGAUGUGUUAAUUGAAAUAAUUAUGAGUAGAUUGCCUUUAACUUUUAUCUCUACUAUUUCCUUUACAAGUGUACAGGGAUACCAUUAGAUUUUUAAUUCAAUUUGAAGAAACAAAACUAUAUAUUUGGGCACACAAAAACAAUUUGCAUAAUGUGAUAUGGUUUUCUCUUUAAUAUGGUUAAUUAUUUAAUUUUAUUUAUUUAUGCACUUGAAUUUUUUACUUGGGUUCCUUUGGUUUGGUUCUUUCCCUUUGUUUUUUUCCUCUCUUUUUAGGGCUAAAUUUUAAUGUUUUGAUUCAUGAUUGUUUGAAACUCUUUCUUUAGUUAAAUAUUUAUAUGCUAUUUGAUUAAUAAGCAAUAAAUCAACCCUCACAAAAUUUUAAUUUUUUGUUUCAUAGUCACAAGCCAACUAAAAUUGUUUCUAUAAUCCUUAAUUAAUUGAUUAAUUAAAUUUCAAAAUUUACAGAUUUAAGCUCUCAACUAGAUAGCUUGUGCAUUUAUUAAUUCUUGAAAUAAAGACAAAAUUUGCACACAAAAUAUCUAUUACCCAAUUAGAAUUGAAGAAGAAUGUCCUUGAUUUUUUAUUUUGUUAAGUUUAGAUGCAUUUGGUGCAUGAAAUUAAUAGUGAGUAUGAUUUCUAUGAAUUUGAAUUUAGAUAUUUCAUUAUUUAUGAUUGAGAUAAUUAAAAUUUCUGCUCAACUUUAAUUUCAAUUAUUUCUUGGAUAAUGUGAGUUUUUAUCUAUUUAAAAACCAAAAUAACAUGAAAGAUAUAUUUGGAACUUUCUUUUUCUCUUUUCCUUUUUGCAUUCCUUUUAGAAACUAAAAAGAAGUAUAUUUUUAUAGUUAUUUAGGUCCAUAAUAUAAAAAGCACAAUAAUUAAACUUAGAAUUCAUUCUUAAAAAUAUUUAAUUGUAGUUAGAUAUCUAAUUUCUCAAUUUGAGUUUUCUUUUUGUUAACAUGGUUUGUUUUUUCUAUCAUAGGUUUGAGAUAGAGGUAUUGGCAAUUUUGGGGUCUUGUUAGAGGGUAGUGCUUGAAGAUUAAUGCUAGAAAUAUGAUAUCUAUAAAUUGCAUAUAUGUUUGAUGUAUUCUUGUAAUUGAAAGUACCUUAUAAUUUGAAAAUGGCUAUUUUGAUACAUGUUACUUACUUUUCUAUUAAUGUUGUGUCUAUCCUAUUAGGUAUCUAAGAAAUAUAGCAAAAGAAGAAGAAAAUGAUGGAGAAUUAGAGACCCUCUUACAAGAUAGUAUUGUACUUUUUAAUUUAAUUUUGUAUAUUAUCUUAAUUGAAUGUUUGUAAUUAAUUUUUUUUUAUAUAUAUAGUAACUAGAGAGUAGCUAGAAAAAUAUUUAUUUCAUUGUGUUUUUAAUAUUCAAAUGUAUAUAUAAUAAUUUUUUCCCUUGAGCAAUAGUUUAUUUGUAUGGUUUUAGGACUUAAUUAUUAUUAUAAUAAUUAAAUAGUACUAAAUAUGGUAAUAUGUUCAUUUUCCAUUAAAAACUAAAAAUUAUAAUAAAAUAAUAUUAAAUUUUUCAUGGGCAACCUUGACAAAUGGCUAAUGCCCAACAUUGACAUCUGCAAUAGCUAGAAACCUUGACAUAUUAUACUUAUCCUUAACAUUUGUUGCAGCAAACUUGACAGAAAAGCAAGUUAACAUUAACAUAAGAUCAAAGAAUCUUGACAUAUGUUGAAUCCAACCGUGACAAAAGUGAAAGAAACAUUGACAUAUGUCAUACUAACAAAGAUUCCAUCAUUAGUAGAAAUUGAAACAAUGUAAAUGUCAAGGUAGAUUUAAACUUUUCUUGACACUGGCAUAGAUGACAUAUAUGAAUAGUAACAUACCUUGAUAGAUAUACCCUAUCUUGAUGGUGAAAAACUAUCAAUGAAAGCCUUUUUUCUUGUAGUGAGUAGUCUCCCAUGGAAUUGAAUAAGGUAGUGUCAAAUCACGCCUUUCAGUGUGCCUUUGGCUAAAAUGACUCAACUGGGUGCUUGCCCUAUGCCCUAGAGGUUGUAGGCUCUUGCUUGGGGGCCAUAGAGGACAAAGACUGAGCAAGAUGAAGAGAUAGAACUGGUAAAGGCUUACACUUGAAACCCAAACGAAUAGAAAUGGAGAUGAAUCUAUGUUGGAGUUGACUGUAACACACCUAAGGAAGAGAAGACCAUUGAAAAUGGAAACCCUAGCCUUCAAAGUCUUCAAAACUCUCCCUUUAGUUUUCUCUAGCAUUGUGCCCACAUUCCUUUAGCUUUCUCCGGCAUUGUCCCUAGAUCCCCUAGUCCAUUCGGUCAACAUGACUCAUUUCCCUUAGCCUUCUUUAUUGUUGUGUGGGGACAAAAUUGUUGGUCAUUUGAAUUCUUCACUAAAGUUCAUUUCACUCAAUUCAUUGCUUGCACUUCGCACUCGCGUUUCACUUGUUCAUUCACUCUACUGAAGAGGGGCAUAUUAGUAGACCCUCAAUUUUGUCCUUCGACACUUGCAUUUAUCUUAAGGGUGUCACAUGCUCCCAAUUUUUUCCUUAUGGCACCACCAUGACCCUCUUUUAGGCUUGAUCGGUUUUGGAGCCUUAUGUAAGUUCAUAUGCGGUCCAAUGUAGUGGAAUUUGAAGUUCAUUUUGGAGUUCCGUCAUGGCCAAUUCCCUAGUUGUUCACAUCAUGUUAAAGGAAGGAAGUGGGGUCUCCCCAAAACUUCAGUUCAGUUGGAGUUCAUUGGAGUAGGUUUGAAUAUGGGGCACUCUACCUUGUUUUUAGUCAUAUCUCUCAUCCAAACUUGGAAUCGAGUACCAUUUUUUUAAUGGACUCCUUGUUCUUCAAGGAAUAUUUUUCAAAAUUUCAAUUUUUUUUCUUAACCGGCUCGACCAAUCCCCAACUCUUCAGUUCGGUUGGAGUUCAUAGAAACAGGUUCGAAUAUGGGCACUCCACCUUGUUUUUAGUCAUAUCUCCCUCAUCCGAACUCGGAAUCGUGCACCGUUUUUUUUAUGGUCUCCUUGUUCUUCAAGAAAUAUUCUAUCAAAAUUUCAAUUUUUUUCUCAACCGGCUUGACCAAUCCCCAAUGCUUCAGUUCAGUUGGAGUUUAUAGGAGCAAGUUCGAAUACGGGGCACUUCACCUCAUUUUUAGUCAUAUCUCCCUCAUCCGAACUCGGAAUCGUGCAUCAUUUUUUUUAUGGACUUCUUGUUCUUCAAGGAAUAUUUUGUUAAAAUUUCAAAUUUUUUCUCAACCGGCGUGACCAAUCCCUAAAGCUUCGGUUCAGUUGGAGUUCAUAGGAGCAGGUUCGAAUAUGGAGCACUUGGGAUUGUUUCGAUCAUAUCUCCCUCAUCCGAACUCGGAAUCGUGUACCAUUUUUUUUAUGGACUCCUUGUUCUUCAAGGAAUAUUCUAUCAAAAUUUCAAUUUUUUUCUCAACCGGCUCGACCGGUCCCCAAAUUUUCAGUACAGCCAGAGUUCAUUGGAGCAUGUCUGAAUUCAGAGCAGUUAGGCUUGUUUCGAUCAUAUCCCCCUCAUCUGAACUCGGAAUUGCGUACCAUUUUUUUUUUCUAUGGACUUCUUAUUCUUCAAGGAAUAUUCUGCCAAAAUUUAAAAAAUUUUCUUAGCCGGCUCGUUGGGCCAGCUUGUAUAGAGCACUGAUUUUGGUGAUUUUGAAGCCCAAAUCCUACAUGGCUCGGGCCUAUAAGCUCCAGAUCGAUUUUGGGCAAUAUUUUGGGUCCAUUUUGGGGCUUGGUUCGGGUUCCUUGCAGCCCACCAUGAAUCCAUAUGGAUUCUUGGUGGUGAAGCAAGGGAGUAAAUGUGGAAAGAGUAGCUCACCUCGUGACAAAGAGUAGCUCACCUCAUGACUGUGGGGAGUGUUUAUGGAGCUGGUUUUCGAGGUUGAUGGGGACACGUUCCAGAGCUGAAGGAGGGAAAAACGAAGGUGGAAAUGGGAGGAGCAGGGGUUCUGGUAUAAAAAGCCAGAAUGGAAAGAGAGAAAGACCUUUUUCCUUUACAUUUUUUCUAGGGGGGAAACUUUGUCCAAGACUGGUGAGUGAAAAAAACAGAGUGUGGAGAAGGUUUUGAGCAUCUGAGAAAUUUCUGGGUGCACGUGAAGUGAGCAAAGAGAGAAGGGAGUAAGGAGCUCUUGAUCGGUGAGGACGUCUAGGAGUCUUUUCAGGCAUGGUCUUUUGGAUUGUUGUUUUUCUCCCUGCUUGUUUUUUUUUUAAUAGACACUUUAUUGAUGCUCUUGGUAUGUAACUAUUGCAUGGUUUCAUUUUUUAUGUUUUCUAUGGAUGUCUUAUUUUGGGUUGGUUCUGAUCGGGAAUAGGGGGGAAGAGUGACCUACUUUUGAUGUGUGAGUAAUAGGGUCACUGCCUUCAUUAGUUUUGGUUUUGGUUGAAGGUCAUUGUGACCUCCUGAUUGUUAAGGGAAGGAUUCUUGUGGCCUUGUAGCUUUGGAUUGAGGAAGUUCUUAGAUGCUAGAUUCAGGUGGCUAUGUUGGUAUGGGCGUUUCUACCACUUGGUUUUUCUUGAAACCUCCUUUGCUUGGUAUUUAGAAAGAGUUUCCAUGACCUUCUUUGUUUUUUUAAUUUGGGGCUACCCAUCAGUAAUCUGGACUUAAACCCUAGGUCUUGUGGCUACAUGUAUAGGUUCCAUGUGGCUGAAAUUUCGAUUUGCUUCUUGGUGAUUCUAGUAGUUGCAUUGGGGGGGCUUUAGGUGGCUAAAUUUCAGCUAGAUUCAUAGGCUAUAGGAGGCUGAAAUUUCAGUUUGUUCCAUGGGAUUUAAGUAGCUAUAUGUGGGAGGCUUCAGGUGAAUGAAAUUUCAAUUUGGUUUCAAGGGAUUUAUGUGGCCGCAUGUGGAUGUCCGUGUGGCCGAAUUUCCAGUUGGGUUUCUUGAGUUCAGGGGGGCUGCAUUGUUGGUUGAUUAAUGAGCUCUGUGGCCUUAGUUUUAUUAAGGUUGGGUGGCUCGGGUUUGGCCUUCUAUAAGGAACUCGUUGCAUUGUUUCGGCCGGUUCUCUCUCAUCCUAGCUUGGAAUUGAGUGCUAUUUUUUUUUUAUUAUUCCUUAUUCUUCGAGGAAUCUUCUAGUAAAGUUUCAGAAUUUUUCUCAAUCGGUUGAACCAGUUGGGAGCCAGUUCAAUAGGUUCUACUAGGCAGCCCCGUUUUGUAAACACAUUGCAUUGUUUCGACCGGUUCUCCCUCAUCUGGGCUCGGAAUUGAGUGCCAUUUUUUUUAGAUUCCUUAUUCUUCGAGGAAUAUUCUAGUAAAGUUUUAUAAUUUUUCUCAAUCGGUUGGAUUGGUAGGGAACCAGUUCAACAGGUUCUACUAGGCAACCUUGUUUUAUAAACACAUUACAUUGUUUCAGCCGGUUCUCCCUCAUCCGGGCUCAGAAUUGAGAACCAUUUUUUUUGUUGGAUUCCUUAUUCUUCAAGGAAUCUUUUGGUAAAUGUUUAGAAUUUUUUUCAAUCAUUUGUACAAGUUGGGAACCAGUUCAAUAGGUUAUACUAGGCAACCCCAGUUUUAACAUGUUUUGACCCCCAUUUUUGUUGUGGCUUGAGCCCUUAGGCUCCAAGGCACUUGUGAGCCACCUUUAGGGUCAAAGUUUAGUUUGGUUAGAUUUAAUGUGAGCCCAAUUCAUGGAUGGGAAGAAUGUGGAUUAAGUGAGCAUGGUUUGGUUUGAUGGAAUUUAGAGGAAUGUGUGCAAAAGAAAUCGAACUAUUUAUUUCAUUUCGACCCGCUUCCAUCCCUUUUGGGUAUGAGAUUUGAUGCUUGAUUGAGAGUGCAUGUCGUAUGCUUGUAUUACUUGCCUUACCUUUUUCUUGCAGCGCAUGGAUGGGGACCACAAGUAUGCACUUCAGCUUUGGAUAAUGAAAUUCACAUGAAUGCUUGGUGCAUGAUUGCUAUGUAUAUUUGUUGCGCAUUUGAGCUCAUUGACUGACCUCUUAUGCAGCGCUUGUUUAGAGACCUCAGGUAUGCACUCUGAUUUUGACUUGUUGAGUGUAUGUGUAUGCUAAAUACUAGACAAGUCUAUGUGAUUCAUGUCAUUUGUUUAACCCAAGGUUUGUUUGAUCUUUGACCCAUAUGCUCCUAUAUACCCAGUUCAGUAGUAAAGACUGAGUUAUGGGCCUAGAGGGGUGCUACCUCGCAUGAGGUACCUUCCCGAUAGGUAACCUGAUCCCCGGACCCAGAAUCUAGUUUUCGCAUACCGUUUUUUCCUGACUAGAGUCAUGUUGGGGUUUUUGUUCUUACUUAAAUUUUCCCCAUUUAAAAAUAAAAAUAAAAAGUAAGUGGCGACUCCAAACAAAACCGUUCCUCGUUGGGACGAAUAUUUCAAAACACGAAAACCAGUUUUCCCUUUCACCUUUAAAAUAACAAGUCGCGUCAGUCGGUGGAUCGGGUGAGGGUCCACAACCCUACAUUUUAUGAAGAGCUUAAGGUUGUUGAUGAUAUGAACAACUCGAGGUCGUGAGCUCAGACCUCUAGAUGUUAUGAAAAGCUCAGGGUUAUGGAUGAUACGAAUGAAUUUGGGUUGUGAGCUAAAGGCUCUAGAUGCUAUGAAAAGCUCAUGGCUAUGGAUGAUAUGAAUGACUCUAGGUCGUGAGAUCAAGGCUCUAGAUGCUAUGAACAACUUAGGGUUGUGGAUGAUGUGCACGACUCGGGGUCCCAUCAAUUAAGGGCUUUGAAUGUUACAAACAAGUCAAUCUUGUGGAUGACAUAAAUGUCUCCGAGUCAUGAGCUUGGGGCUCUUUAUGCUAUGAACAACUCAGAGUUGUGGACGACAUGAUUGACUCAAGGUCGUUAGCUCAAGGCUCUAGAUACUAUGAAAAGCUUAGGGUUAUGGAUGAUAUGAACGACUUCGGGUCCUGAGCUUAAGGCUCUAGAUGCUAUGAACAGCUUAGGGUCGUGGAUGACAUGCACAACUCAAGGUCAUGAGCAUAGGCCUUGGGAUUUUAUUAAGAGUUUAGGGUUGUGGAUGACAUGAACAACUCUGAGUUGUUAGCGCAUGACUUUAGAUGCUAUGAAAAAUUGAGGGCUAUGGAUGAUAUGAAUGACUUUAGGUCGUGAGAUCAAGGUUUUAGAUGAUAUGAAUAGCUCAAGGUUGUGGAUGAUAUGGAUGACUCAGGGUCCCAUCAAUUGAGAGUUGAUUUGUCCCCAAUUGGUGUUCUACUGGAUUCAGUCCUUAGAUGGGAGUUAUCAACAAAAUUUAUAAACCUAAUUCACCAUAUACUAGGGUAGCAUAGCAUAGUGGUUCUAGGAUCGUCCAUAGGGAUGAGUUUUCAUUUCACACGUGAUAUUAGUUAUAACACUGAAAUUGUGGUUUUUCUUUUAUGAGUUAGCUUUAAGAGAAAACAUAAAGUUGGUUGAAAAGGUUUGGUUUUAAGCUAACCAAAAAUAGUAACUAAGAUUAAUUACAAAGAAAAGGUUUCUUAGAGUUUUAGGUCACUAGGUUCAGGUUCCUUAUACAAAAGGGGGGAUUUCGGAUCCUUUCCUCACAUUGGGGAUUUAACCUAUAGUUAUUUCCUGAACCGGUGUAUUACAUUUGCUUCCUAUUAAUGGUUUCAAACACUAAAACCCUCUCAUUGAAUCAUCUUGCAAUGGUUCAUACCUCUCACCUAGUAUUGGCCAUUCAAGGUGAUCCUUAACCUUGGAUUACCCUUUAAAAGCUCGCAAGAGAUAACUAAUGGAUGUCUCCAGGGAGUCCGAAAGCUUACCAAGUGUUGGCUAUUCUAGGUAAUCCUACCUUUAAACCACCUCCCAGAGGCUCGCAAGAGACAACUAAUGGAUCUCAAUGGAUGGAGUCUGAAAAGAUUACCAAGUGUUGGCCCAAGUGAUUUUAAGGGAUUUUAAGUUAACUAAAAAAAUAAAAAUCAUUAACGGGUCACAACUUCUCUUCAUUUAAAACUAAAACAAGGAAAACUCCCACUUUUGUAUCCAGAUCCCUUACCUAGCUUCCUUCAGUCUAAGAAACGAAAAGCCUAGCCACUCAUCCUCUGAGACCUCAGAGGAUGUUUGGUUAGAAAGAAAAUAAAUAUAAAAUGAGUAGGUAAUGCAGAGCAAAGCUCUAUGUAUUUCUUACUAAGAAGAAUGUACAAGGGAUCCUCAAGAAUUUCUUCCGAGAUUUCGAGAUAUAUACAGAAGAUAUUUUCUAAGAAAUAUCGAGAGAGAUAUUUUUAACCUCCCUUUAGAUAUCCUAAAUAUCUAGAAAAUAUCUUUAGUUGAUUACAAGGAGAAAAUAGGUAAUUACACAAAAUAUCUCGAGAUAAAAAUCUAACUGAGUCGGUGCAAAAAUAUCUAAAGAUUACAGGAAGAUUUCGUAAGGCUUGCGAAAAUUUCAUAAGGGGUUGCAAAAUUGAUUUUCCUCGGCUUUGGUUUCGCAAGGCUUGCGAAAUUUCUAUUGGCUUACGAAAAUUUCGCAAGGGGUUGCGAAAUUCAUUCUCAGUUUCGCAAGGCAUGCGAAAUUCCUUCUUGGGCAAUUCGCAAGGGGUUGCGAAUUUGUUGAAUGUUAGAUUCCUUCUCUAGUUCUCUUCCUUGCAUACUUGAUUGAUUUUGCAAAGACUUUGAAGCUCUCUUAAAACUUGGAUUCUUCAUGUAAUUUAGCUUCAAUCUUGCUUUGCCAUGGACUAUACCAAGUUCUCCCUAAUUCUUGGCUUGUUUUAAUGAUAAAAAAGCUAUCAAAAACACCAAAACAUGCCAAAAACUUAUUAGUAACACUUGCAAGGGUCCUUAAUGUGCCAAUUGAGUUAAAAGGUAAUAAAUACUACUUAAAAGUGUUUAAAAGAGUUUAUAAGAAUCUAUAAAAGAGCACUUUUUGAGUAGUAAUCAAGAUCUCUAAAUGCAAUAAACAACUCAAGCAUGUGGAUGACAUGAAUGACUCUAAGUAGUGAGCCCAAGGUUCCUAAUGCUAUGAAUCACUCAAGGUUGUGGUUGGCAUGAAUGACUCCGAGUUGUGAGCUUAGGGCUCAAAAUGCUAUUAACAAAUCGGGGCAAUAAAUUAUAUAAACGACUUUGGCCCGCUAGCUUAAGGCUCUAGAUAAUAUGCAUAACUUAGGGAUGUGGUUCAUAUGAACAACUGUGAGUCGUGAGAUGAAGGCACUAGAUGUUAUAAACAACUUAAGGUUGUGGAUGAUAAGUACGACUCGGGGUGGUGACCUUAGGUCUCUAGAUGAUAUGAAUAUCUCAAAGUUGUGGGUGACAUGAAUGACUCUAGGCCAUGAGCUCAGGGCUUUAGAUGAUAUAAACAAGUAAGGGCUUUGAUUUUAUGAACAACUCUAGGUCGUGAGCUCAAUGGUUUAACUACUAUGCAUAACUUAGGGUUGUGGAUGUUAUAAACAACUUUCGAUCAUGAGGUGAAGGCUCUAGAUGCUAUGAACAACUUUGGGCUAUGGAUGAUAUAAAUGAUUUGGGGUCCCAUGAGCUCAGGUCUCUAGAUGCUAUAAACAGCUUAGAGUUAUGGAUGACAUGAAUAACUAGGGGUCAUGAUUUCAUGGCUCUAGAUGCUAUGCACAACUCAUGGUUGUGGAUGACAUGAAUGACUUUAGGUCCUGAGCUAAGGGUUGUAAAUGCUAUGAAUAGCUUAGGGUUGUGGAUGAUAUGAACGACUUGAGGUUGUGAGCUUAGGGCUCUAGAUGCUAUGAAUAACUCAAGGUUGUGGAUGAUAUGAACGAAUCUAGGUCCCAUGAAGUUAGGGCUCUAGAUGAUAUAAGCAACUCAAGGCUAUGGAUGACAUCAAUGACUAGGGGUCAUGAGUUCAUGAAUCUAGAUGCUAUGCACAAAUCAUGGUUGUGGAUGACAUGGAUGACUCUGAGGCAUUAGCUAAGGGCACUAAAUGUUAUGAAUAGCUUAAGACUGUGAAUGAUAUGAAUAACUCAAGGUCAUGAGCUUAGGGCUCUAAAUGUUAUGAAUAGCUUAGGGUUGUAGACAAUAUAAAUGACUCUAGGUCAUGAGUUGAAGAAUCUAGAUGGUAUUAAUAGCUCAGGGCUAUGGAUGAUAUGAACGACUCGGGGUCUCGUGAGCUCAAGGUUGUAGGUGCUAUGAACAAUUGUUAGUUGUGGAUGAUAUGAAAAACUCUAGAUCAUGAGUUAAAGGAUCCACAUGGUAUGAACAACUCAGGGUUAUGGAUUAUAUGAAUGACUCAAGGUCCCAUAAACUUAAAGCUCUAGAUGUUAUGGACAACUUAAGGUUGUUAAUGACAUGAACACUCUAGGUUAUGAGCUUAAGGCUCUAAAUGCUAUAGUAGCUCAAGGCUAUGGAUGACAUGAACGACUCAGGGUUCCAUCAGUUGAGGGCUCUAGAUACUAUGAAUAGCUUAAGCCUGUGGAUGACAUGAAUGACUCUAGGUCGUGAACCCAAGGCUCUUAAUGCUAUGAAUAACUCAAGGUUAUGGAUGGCAUGAACCAUUUAAGGUCCUAAACUCAAGGCUCUAGAUGCUAUGAACAACUCAGGGCAGUGGAUGAUAUGAACGACUUUAGGUCAUGAGCUUAAGGGUUUAGACAUUAUGCACACCUCAAGGAUGUGGAUCAUAUGAACGAUAGUGGGUUGUGAGUUGAAGGCACUAGAUGUAUGAACAACUUAGGGUUGUGGAUGAUAUGAAUGACUCGGGGUGGUGAGCUCAGAGCUCUAGAUGGUAUGAACAACUCAGGGCUAUGAAUGACAUUAAUGAGUUUGGGUUGAGAGCUCAAGGAUUUAGAUGAUAUGAAUAGCUCAGAGCUAUGGAUGACAUGAAUGACUCUAGGUUGUGAACUCAGGGCUUCAGAUGCUAUGAACACCUCAAGGUUGUGGAUGACAUGAACGACUUCAAGUCAUGAGCACAGGAUUCCAGAUGCUAUGAAUUAGUUAGGGCUCUCAAUGAUAUGAAUAGCUCAGGGUUGUGGAUAAUAUGAAUGACUCUUGGUAAUGAGCUGAAGGCUCUAUAUGGCAUAAAUAGAUUUGGGCUAUGGAUGAUAUGAACAACUCGGGGAGGUGAGCUUAGGGCUUUAAAUGGUCUAAAUAACCGAAGACUGUGGAUGAUGUGAAUGAGUUUAGGUCGUGAGCUUGGUGCUCUAGAUGAUAUAAACAGCUCAGAGCUGUGGAUGACAUGAACGACUCUAGCUUGUGACCCGAGGGCUUUGGAUGCUAUGCAUAACUCAUGGUUAUGGAUGACAUGAACGACUUUGGGUUGUGAGCUGAGAGCUCUAAAUGCUAUGAAUAGCUUAGCGUUGUGGACAAUAUGAACAAAUCUAGGUCUUAUAAGCUCAUGGCUUUAGCUGCUAUGAAUAGCUAAGGGUUAUGGAUAAUAUGAACAAGACUGGGAUGUGAGCUCAAUCCUCUUGUUGCUAUGAACAACUCAGAGUUGUGGAUGAUAUGAACAACUCUAGGUCAUGAGCUAAAGGAUCUAGAUGGUAUGAAUAGCUCAAGGCCGUGGAUGAUAUGAAUGACUUAAUGACCCGUAAACUCAAGGCUCUAGAGGUCAUUUACAACUCAAGGUUGUUGAUGACAUGAAUGACUCUAGGUCGUGAGCUUAGGGCUCUAGAAGCUAUGAACAACCUAGGGUAAUGGAUCAUAUGAAUGAUUCUAGGUCUCAUGAGCUGAGGGCUCUGGAUGCUAUGAAUAACUCAGGGUUGUGGAUGAUAUGAACAACUUUGGGUCAUGAGCUCAAUUCUCUAGAUGCUAUGAAGAUAUGAAUGACUCUGGGUCGUGAGCUUUGGGUUCUAGAUGAACAAAUCAAGGUUGUGGAUGACAUGAUUGACUUUAGAUCAUUAGCCGAGAGCUCUAGAUGUUAUGCACAUCUCAUGGCUGUGGAUGACAUGAACGACUUUGGGUCAUGAGCUGAAGGCUCUAGAUGCUAUGAACUACUCAAAGCUAUUGAUGAUAUGAAUGACUCGGGGUCGUUACCCUAGGGCUCUAGAUUGUAUGAACAUCUCAGGAUUGUGGACGACAUGAACAACUAUUGGGUUGUGAGGUUAGGGCUUUAGAUGCUAUAAUAGCUCAAGGUUGUGGAUGAGAUGGACGACUAUAGGUUAUGAGCUUAGGGCUUUAGAUGCUAAUAAUAGCUUAAGGUUGUGAAUUACAUGAAUGACUCUAGGUUGUUAGCUCAGGUCUCUAGAUGCUAUGAACAAGUUAAGGUUGUGGGUGACAUCAACAACUUCGGGUUAUGAGCAUGGGUCUAUAGAUGCUAUGCACGGGUCAUGGCUCUCGAUGAUAUGAAUGAUUAUAGGUUAUGAGCAUAAUGCUCUAGAUGUUAUGAAACGCUCAAGGUUGUAGAGGAUAUGAAUGACUCUUGGUCAUGAGUUGAAGACUCAAGAUUCUAUGAACACCUCUAGGUUGUAGAUAAUAUGAAUGACAUGGGGUCCCGUGAGCUCAGGGCCUUAGAUGUUAUGAACAUCUCAAAGCUAUGGAUGACAUGAAUGACUCUAAGUCAUGAGCUCAGGGCUUUAGAUGUUAUGAACAAUUGAAGGUUAUGAUGGCAUGAAUGACUUCAGGUUGUUAGUACUAGGCUCUUGAUGCUAUGUUCAACUCAAGGUUGUGGAUGAUAUGAACGACUCUUGGUCAUGAGAUCAAGGCCCUAGAUAUUAUGAACAACUCAGAGCUAUAGAUGAUAUGAACAACUCAGGCUCCUAAUGGCUGAGGGCUCUUGAUGUUAUGAACUCAAGCUUGUGGAUGACACGAAUGGCUACGAGUAAUGAGCCUAGGGCUCCUAAUGCUAUGAAUAGCUCAAGGUUAUGGACGACAUUAACAAUUCCGAGUUGUGACCUUAGGGCUCUAGAUGCUACCAACAACUCAUGGUUGUGGAUGAUAUGAACAACUUUGGGUCAUGAGCUCAAGGCUCUAGAUGUUAUGCACAAGUCAGACAUGUGGAUCGUAUAAAUGACUAUGGGUCAUGAGCUGAAGGCAUUAGAUGUUAUGAAUAUCUUAGGGAUGUGGAUGAUAUGAAUAACUUGAGGUAGUGAGCUAAAGGUUAUUGAUGGUAUGAACAACUUAAGGUUAUGGAUGGCAUGAACAACUCCGGGUUGUGAGCUCAAUCCUCUAAAUGUUGUGAAUAGCUAAGGGUUGUGGAUGAUAUGAACGACUCUAGGUUGUGAGCUCUGAGCUUUAUAUGUUAUGAACAACUUAGGGCAUGGAUGAAAUGAAUGACUCUAGGUCGUGAGAUGAGGGCUCUAGAUGCUAUGCAUAGUUCAUGGUGGUGGAUGACUUGAAUGACUCUAGGCCGUGAGCUGAAGACUCUAGAUGCUAUGAAUAACUGAGGGUUGUGAAUGAUAUGAACAACUCGCGAUCUAGUGAGUUUAAGGCUCUAAAUGCUAUGAACAGUUUACGGUGGUGGAUGACAUGAACAACUCUAAGUCGUGAGCUUAAGGCUCUAAAUGCUAUGAACAACUUAGGGCUCUAUGUCCUAUGAAUAGCUCAAGGUUGUAGAUGAUAUGAAUGACUCGAGGUCAUGGGGUGUGGGCUUUAGCUAAUAAUAACUUAGGGCUAUGGAUGACAUGAAUGAUGUCACAUCAUUAGUUGAGGGCUUUAGAUGCUAUGAACAAAUCAAGGAUGUGGUUGAGAUGAACAAUUUUGGGUUAUGAGUGUAGGGCUCUAAAUGCUAUGAACAUGUCAGGGCUUUGGAUCAUAUGAACAACUAUAGAUUUUGAGCUCAAUACACUAGAUGCUAUGAAUAGCUUAGGGUUGUGGAUGAUAUGAACAACUCUAGGUCAUGAGCUGAAGGCUUUAAAUGCUAUGAACAAAUCUAGGCUAUAGAUAAUAUGAAUGACUCAAGGCCCCUUGAGCUUUAAGCCCUAGAUGCUAUGAACAUCUUAUUGCUAUGAAUGAUAUGAACGACUUGAGGUCGUGAGCUAAGGGCUUUAGAUGGUAUGAACAACUCAGGGCUAAGGAUGAUGUGAACGACUACGGGUUGUGAGCUUAGGGCUCUAGAUGCUAGGAACAACUGAGGGCUGUGGAUGACAUGAAAAGCUCUGGGUCGUAAGCUUAGGGCUCUAGAUGCUAUAAAUAGCUUAGGAUUGUGGAUGAUAUGAAUGACUCGAGGUUGUUAGCUUAGGGUUUUAGAUGCUAUGAACGACUCAAGGUUGUGGAUGAUAUGAACAACUCUAAGCCAUGAGCUUAAAGCUCUAGAUGCCAUGAGAAGCUCAGGUCUAUAGAUUAUAUGACUGACUCUUGGUCUUGAGAUCAAGGCUCUAGAUGCUAUGAACAACUUUAAAUGAUAUGAACAACUUCAGUCCCUUAGGUGAUGGCUCUAGAUGCUAUGAAUAGAUCAAGUUUGUGGAUGACAUAAAUGACCCCAGGUCAUGAGCUACAAACUCUAAAUGCUAUGAACAACUUAGGGAUAUGGAUGAUAUGAACACCUCGAGGUUAGGAGCUCAAGGCUUUGGAUGUUAUGAACAACUCAAGAUUGGGGAUAAUACAAACAAGUUUGGGUCUCGUGAUCUCAAAGUUCGAGAUGCUAUGAACAACUCAAGUGAUAUGAAUGACUCUGGGUCGUGAGCUCAAGGCUCUUGAUGCUAUGAACAACUUAGGGAUGUGAAUGAUGUGAACAACUUUGUGUCAAGAGCGCAACUCUCUAAAUGCUAUGAAUAACUCAAGGUUGGAGAUGAUAAGAACAACUCUAGGUAGUGAGCUCAGGGAUCUAGAUGCUAUGAAUAGCUCAAGGAUGUGAAUGAUAUGAACAACUCGAGGUCUCGUGAGAUUAGGAAUCUAAAUGCUAUGAAUAGCUUGGGGUUAUGGAUGAUAUGAAUGGCUCUAAGUCGUGAGCUUAUGGUUCUAAAUGCUAUGAACAACUCAAGGCUAUUGAUGAUAUGAAUGACUUGGGGUCAUGAUCUCUGGGUUCUAGAUGGUAUGAAUAGCUUAGGGUUAUGGAUGACAUGAACGACUUCAGGUCAUGAGCUAAGGGAUCUAAAUGUUAUGAACCACUCAAUGUUGUCAAUGAUAUGAAUGACUUGAGGUCAUGAGCUUAGGGCUUUAGAUGCUAUGAGCAGUUGAGGGUUGUGAAUGAUAUGCACAACUCUGAGUCCCAUGAACUCCAAGCUCUACAUGCUAUGAACAAAUCAAGGUUUUUAGUGAUAUGAACGACUCUAGGGCAUGAGCUUAAGGCUCUAGAUUCUAUGAACAACUUAGAGUUAUAAAUGAUAUAAAUAACUCAAGGUCGUAAGCUCAGGGCUCUAUAUGGUAUGAACAACUCAGAAAUGUAAAUGACAUGAACAACUAUAGGUUGUGAGCUUAGGAUUUAGAUGCUAUGAACAACUCAAGACUAUUAAUUAAAUGAAUGAAUUUGGGUCGUGAGCCUAAGGCUCUAGAUGUUAUGAACAGGUUAGGGCUUUGGAUUAAAUAAACAACUCGAGGUCCCGUAAAUUGAAGGUCCUCAAUAUUAUGAAUAGCUCAGGAUUGUGGAUGACAUGGAUGACUCUAGCUCGUGAGCUCAUGGCUCUAGAUGCUAUGAACAACUCAGGACUGAGGAUGAUAUGAACAACUCAUGGUCAUGAGCUUAAGGCUUUAGAUGGUAUGAAUGGCUCAAGGUUGUGGAUAACAUGAAAGAUUGUGGGUUGUGAGCUCAGGAUCUAGAUGCUACGAAUAGCUUAGGGUUGUGGAUGACAUGAACAACUCUAGGUCUCGAGUGUAGGGCUCUAGAUGCCAUAAACAAGUCAAGGCUCUGAAUGAAGUGAACAACUCUGGAACAUGAGCUCAAUGCUCUAGAUGCUAUGAAAAACUUAGGGUUGUGGAUGAUAUGGCCGACUUUGGGACAUGAGCUAAAGGCUCUUUAUCCUUUGAAAAACUCUUGUCUAUCAAUAAUAUGAAUGACUCAAGGUUCUGCGUGCUCAAGGCUUUAGAUGUUAUGAAUAACUCAGGGUCGUGAAUGACAGGAAUGACUUUGGGUCAUGAGCCUAGGGCUCUUAAUGCUAUGAAUGGCUCAAAUUUGUGGAUGACAUGAAAGACUCUGAGUCGAGAGCUAAGGACUCUAGAAGCUAUGCACAACUCAUGGAUGUGGAUGACAUGAAUGACUCUAGGCCAUAAGCUACGAGCUAUAAAUGCUAUGAAUAGCUCAAGGUUACAGAUGAAAUGAAUGACUUAAGGUCAUGAGCUUAGGGCUUUAGAUGUUAUGAACAACUUAAGGUUGGAGAUGAUAUGAACGAGUCCGAGUCUCGUGAGCUCAAGGCUCGAGAUGCUAUGUACAACUUAUUGGAAUUGAGCCUUGGAAAGCAUGACAUGAUGUAACAGAUUGAGAUUCAUUUAUAAAUUAUUUAUUUAUGUUUCUUGGUUUCCCUUAAAUAUAUCGUUUUUAUUAAUUGGUUAUUUGAGCAUACAUGCCCCACAUCACUUACAUUGUACAUGACUUGGGUGCAUUAGGAGUUACACAGAAGAUCCUAGUCAUAGGUUCCUUGUAGAGUGAUGAGUUGUCCACAAUUGGUUCAUGGAUUUUGGUUAUCCAUCUGAGACUAUAGUACACUACAUCCUAAUUGGAGGGAUAACUUGUCUUAGCUAUUGGGAUGGUUUUCCCAUGGUGAGUGUACUAGUGCAUGUGAUGCGCAUUAGACAAGACCUAUAGUGAAUCAUGACACAAGGCUAUCAAUUGUCAUGAUCCACUAAGCUACUAUACUGCAUGGAGUCUCAACCUUUAGAGGAUAUUGAGUUUGUGCCAAAGUUAACAGAAGGCUUUGACCUAUGGUAAGACUUUAAAGUGAUCAUAUAUCCCUAUGGAUUGGGUCACUGUUGAUGGAGGCUGGUGGCAAUAACUUUUCUCAAUAGAGGCACCAUGAUAUCUCAUGGAUUAAGACAAUGUGUCCCCUUGGGUGAUCCAAAGGACAUGUGAUCUAGAAGACUAUAGUCAUAUCAUUUUCUUUAAUGGAAAUUUGACAUAUGCUCCUUAGAGUUAGAGUAUGUCAAUUGAUCACAUAAUAAGUGGGAUAUAUAACUCAAGGAUUGAAGAGGUAAUCUUGAUAGGUGAUAACAUUACCUUGUUAGAUUACGGACACCAGUUUAGGGGGAGUUUGCAUAUAGUGGAUAGUAGGUCACAGACCCUAAGCUCGUCUCAUUGUUAUUUACAUACGAUAUUAGAGUGCAGUUGAUUCUCUUUAGUGGAAUGUUGAAUCAACUCCCAAAGUGGAUUCUAAGGGGGCCAGUACUCCUAUGGGUCACAAUGGUCCCCGCUUUGAGCUCAUAUACCAUGAUGGCAUGGUUUAUGAGAGUUCAAUUGACUUUCAAUUCAUUCUUAUGCAUAAGGGCAUUUUGGUAAUUGCAUAAGAUUGCACAAGGGAUAGUGAACAAGUUUUCUUGAUUGGGCUAAUUGAUUAAUUAGAUUGCAUGUGUGGUUAAUUAAUUAAUUAUGACCCAUUUUAGGUUAGAUUAAGUGACCUAAGCCUUGGUGGGCUCAAGUCACUUAAGCUUAGUAAGGGAACCCUAUAAAUACCCCCAUAGGGGCUAAGGCUUCCAUAACUUUUAAAGAGACUUUGUCUUCCACCUUUAGAGAAAAAGAGAGAUAGUGAGAGCCAAGAGAUCUUCCUUUCCAAAGUCUACACUUUGGUGUGUCAAGAUCAUGGUUCGAGUCAUCCAGCAAAAGAUCUUAGGUAUACGAGACUUCCAUAUUCAUUAUUUUUCAUCUUCUUCAAGAAAAAUUGAUUUGGGAACAUCCAAAUCAAAGGUAAAGUUCUCUAAUGGCUUUUCUCUUGAUCCUAAAAUUAUAAAAAUAUGUUUUUUUUUUUUUUUUUUUUGCUUCCAUUGCAUAGGAUCUAGAAACCUAGGGUAGUUUUGCAUGCACCUAUAUGAUCUAGGGUAAGGAAAUGGAGAAAUCUAGGGUUCCUAACACAGCUUAGGGUUGUGAAUGAUAUGAACGACUCUGGGUCGUAGCUCAAGGCUCUAGAUGCUAUGAACAACUCAGGGAUGUGAAUGAUAUGAAUGACUCAAUGUCGAUAGCUCAAUGCUCUAGAUGCAAUGAACAACUUAGGGAUGUGGAUGAUAUGAACGACUCUAGUUCAUGAGCUUAGGGCUCUAGAGCUAUGAAUAGCUCAAGGUUGUGGAUGAUACAAAUGACUCGAGGUCUCAUGAGCUCAGAGCUUUAGAUGCUAUGAACAACUAAGCGUUGUGGACGAUAUGAACUACUUCCAGUCGUUAGCUCAGGGCUCUAAAUGUUAUGAACAUCUCAGGGCUAUGGAUGAUAUGAAUGACUCGGGGUUAUGAGCUUUGAGCUCUAAAUGGUAUGAGUAGCUCAGGGUUGUGGACGAUAUGAACGAGUCCAAGUCAUUAACUAAGGGCUCUAAAUGAUAUGAACAACUCAAUGUUGUGUAUGAUAUGAGCUACUCAAGGUCAUGAGCUCAAGGCUCAAGAUUCUAUGAACUGUUAAGGGUUGUGCAUGAUAUGAACAACUCUAGGUCCCAUGAGCUUGAGGCUUUAGAUGCUUUGAAUGGCUCAAGGCUAUUGAUGAUAUGAACGACUCUGGGUUGUGAGCUCAAGGCCCUAGAUGCUAUGAACAACUCAGGGUUGUGGAUGACAUGAACGAAUCUAGGUCAUGAGUUGAAGGAUCUAUAUGAUAUGAAUUAAUCAGGACUAUAGAUGAUAUGAACGACUUGAGGUCCCGUAAAGUCAAGGCCCUAGAUGUUAUGAACAACUCGAGAUUGUAGAUGACAUGAACGACUUUAGGUCAUGAGCGCAGGGUUCUAGAUGCUAUAAAUAAGUCAAGGCUUUAGAUGCUAUGAACUAUUGGCAUCUUAGAUCUAAACAAUGGAUGCAAUAUCCAUUUUUUAAAAAUUGACCUUUUAGGGUUAAAAUACUAACCUUUAGGUUUGGAUGUUCGCAAACCUUAAAUUCUAAGUGUUGAAAAUGACCUUGAAGUUGUUGGAAAUCUCAUAAACAAUGGCAGUUGUGGGCUUGCCUAAGGCCCUCUUCCACUUAAUCUUUUUAGAUAAAUAAGAAUAUUUUAAAACAUUAGUAAUUACCUUGAUGAAUAAAUUAUCUACUUUGAGAAUUUCCAAAAAUAUUUAUUUCAUAAUUGGAAAUCUAGUGUUGCAAGAGAAUGUUCGUAUGCAAAAUUUAAAAUUUCUAUGAGAGUAUUUUAUCCAAAAAGGAAUUUUGAUAAAAUGUCUCCUCUCAAAGUUUAAAAAAUAUUUUCAUAAAAAAUUCUCCUUCUCCACACAAUUCCAAUUAAUAAAUAUUUUGUCUAGGAAAGAUUUUUAAAGAAAUUUAUUUCCAUCAAAUUACUAAAUAUCCUUUUUGGUAAUAACCUUUAAUAAUAAAUUAUUUCUAAUGAAAAUUUCCAUAAGAUAUUUAUUAUCCAAAUUGGAAACUUAGUGUAAUAAAGAAACUUCCAAUUUAUAAAAUUUUAAAAACUUGAGAACAUCUUAUCCAAUUAGGAAAGAUUUAAUUCUUCAAGGAUUUUAAAAAUAUUUAAAAAAAAUUAAAUCCUUAAGAAUAAAUUUAGAAAGGAAUUUUAGCUCUCAUACUCAAAAUUCCUCAUAAAUUUAAUUUCCUUAUUCCUACAUCAUUCCAAUUUAAUAGAUAUUCUUAAAUAUGAAAUCUAAUUUUCAUAAUAAUCUAUUCCAUUAAAAUUACCAAAAAUAAAACUUUUAGUAAUUCCCUUAAUGAUAAAUUAUCUAUCCUAAAAAUUUCCCAAAACAAAUAUUUGCUCUCCAAAUUAAAGAUUAGUGUAAUAAGAAAGUUCCAAAAACUUGAAAAAUAAAAACCAUAGAGCAUUUUAUCCAAAAGGGAAACUUUUAUUCUAUGAGGAUUCUUAUAAAAAAUUUAAAGAAAAUAAGUUAGAAUCCUUUGGAAUAAUUUACAAAAGGAAACUUUGCUCUCUAAUUUCACUACUACAAAAAAUCAAAUCAAUGGCGCUUGAUUUCGUGGCGCUUUUAAAAUAUGUCAUUGUUUAUCAAUAAAAGAGGUUAAUAUUGGCGCUUGGGGUAGGAGACAUGUUUUUGGUGUUUUGUGGAGAGAGAUAAUGGUGUUUCUAAUUAAAAUGGCGCAUUUUGAAGUGUCAUUGAAGCAAGUAUGGUAAACCUUGGCACUUAUAGGAAGCGCCAUCUUCUCUUUAUUAUAUAUUUAAUCCAUUUUUCCCUCAUUCAAUAAAAUACCCACAGGCCACAAACCCUACCCUCAACCUGAGAUCCACACAGAAACUCCCAUUGUAAGUUGUUUGAUGACUCAAUCGGCAAGCUACAACCAAUUUUUAGAAAGUACAAUAACAAAUGCAUCCAACUUGCACCAGCAUCAUCUUUAGACAUCAUCCUUGAGAAGCUUUAAAACCCUUGUUUCCUUGAAUCCCAUCCACCAAAAAUUAAUCUGGGAAGAAUCCGAUGAGUAACCAUCAAAAACUCCAUCAUUGGCCACCACCUUCCUUCGUUUCGAUCAUUGUGACCCUCUAUAACCCAAGGCAAUAACCAAGGACCAAAAUAGAGAGUUCACUGACAACAGCAAUAACCAUCAUUAUGGUUUGAUCCUCUUAAUUUCUAAUUUAUUCAAGUAAAUAUCUUUAUCCAAAAUGUUGGGAUCACUUCUAUUGAUUAUAGUGCAUUAUUAUUCUAAUAAGGGUUUUUGGAGUUGUGCAAGAUUGAGUUUUUGAAGUUGUGCAUGUUAGGGUUUUCAAAAUUGUGAGGGUUUGAGAAGAUUGUAGGUGGAGAGUUCUUAUUUAUGUUCUUUGGGUUACAAGGUUUGUCUCUCUCUCCUUUUGUUUUUUUUUUCUUUCUAUGUAAAGUUUUUGCUAUAUUGUUUAAUUAUCAUUGCUUCACCAACUCUGAUUUUGGUUUUCCAACCUCUUCCACAUUUUUUUUUCAUUCAUUGAAUUUUGUUUGAGGGUUUUCAACAUACGACUUCUGGUUUGUGGGUCUGCUUUGUUAAUUUCAUUUUUCCUAGGGUUAUCAUUGCUUCCGUUAAUGAAAUGCCAAUUUCUCCAUUAUAUUUGUUGCCCUAUGAAGUCUUCUUUUUGGCUAAAUUGAAGUUGCCCAGGAGACUUGUUUUGUAUUUUUGGAUUUCUUGCUCCAUUUGCUUUGUUUUAUCUCUCUCUCUCUCUCUCUCUCUCACACACACACACACACACACACACACACAUGUUUACUUCUUUGGUGUGAAUACCUCGUAUGACAAAUCAGUUGGUUAAAGUACCCUUUGUCAUUAAUAGCUUAGAGCCAUGAAGCAGGGACGAUUCAGACCUCACAUUCUGACUGAAAUUGAAUCAUGGUCCCAAAGCCUUCCAUGGGUCUGAAUAAGAUGAAUGAUCCAUACCUAGGAAGUUUCUGAGAACACAUUUUUUUAGUUGGUUGAUGAUAGAUGGGCCAACCGGCCACUGCCUUGGAUGGACACAAUUAUGUUGUUGCUAACAAGUCCACUACUUCUAGCUCUAGAUGAGACCAUCAACUCCCCCCAUUUUCAACCAACAAUGUCAAGAGAAGAAAGGAUAUUCCUCAUCAAGCCUUAUUUUGAGUGUUUAAGAUACAAUAGUAUGUUAUAUAAAUGGUGCUUGAAAUCCUGUAAAGUCUUUUAGGAUUAGUAAAUAAGAAAAAACACUCCCACAAAAAAAACACAUAUAAGUAAAUGAAUAAAAAAAAUGGAAGUAAAAUGUGAGACAAGAAUAAGUAGUCCUAGUUUCUUGUGUAAAUAAUAAGUAGUGUGUUUUAAUUCACUCUAGAUUAAGGAAAUGGUCUUUUUAUGUUUAUAAUAAAUGUUAUAUGGGGGUUUUACUUUCUAAAUUACAUUAUAUAUAUAUAUAUAUAUUAAGAGUCUAUUUUGCACAGAUCAUGGCAUGUAAGUAUGGUCUUUGGUUUAAGGGAAAAUUUGCAAUAAUGGAGUGGCUUUAUGGCAUACGUACAGAAAACAUACUUUUGAUCAUACAGGUAGUGUUUUUUAAGUUGUUAUAUUCUCUUGGUGUGUGACUUCUUAGAAACCCCAUACUUGCUUAGGCAUUUUCUAGAUAUCUUAAUAGUUUAGAAUCUAGAUUAUCUCAUAAUUAGCAUCUCAAUCAUUGCUUGCUUUAAUAUUAUUACAUGCAAAGUCUUGAACUAUUAAUGUCUCAUCAUUAUCCACUUGAUGUCUCAUUCAUCAAAGAACACGGAAUCAUUGUUUUUUUUAACUCAAGUCUCAUGAGUAGCUCUUCCUUCAACAUCUCAUUGAAAUCUAUAGUUGAACACUAAAACCAACAACAAUUCUCAACAAAUUGAGAAUUUGGAAAGAAAAAAAAAAUUAAUUGAUUUAGUAAGUUGAUUUUCCUCAUUUCUCUCUCACUUACUCUCUAGCUGAAAAGGUGACACAUUAUUUAUUUAUUUAUUCUCUCUUAAUCAUAUGGAGUUUACAUGGAAUUUAAAUAGAUUUUACUAUCUCAACCAUCUCAAAAAUGAAACAAAUUCUUUUUCCAUUUUCUAAGAUAGUAUUAAACAUGACUUUGAAUGUCAAAUUACAAUUUGAUGAAUUGUAAAACACAUGAAUCAUGAUGAAACAACACUCUUUCAACAUAAAUGCAGGAAUCAAAUUUCAUUGAAUAUAUUUCUAACCUAAGCUUUUAAUUUCAUUCAUUAUAAUCAAGACCCUCUGUUUUUCAUUAUUUGUUGAUUUAUUUAUUUAUUUCCACUCUAUUUAGCAUAGCUAGUAAUAUCAACUCAGAUCACCUCUCUUAUCUUGUGCCUAGUUGGUGCUGCCUUUUAGCACUCUAUAUAUCAAUUUCUAUAACUUGACAUCAUUACAAGAAAAAACUUAAUUUGAACAUUAUUUUAUUUAAGCCUUUUCUUCAAUAUCUUUGUGUAUUUGAUUAUUCAUAUUAAGUUGUUAUAUUGUCAAUCAAAAAAUAGAAACCAAAAUAUGUUAAUCAAGAACUUAUGAACUUGUUUGCACUUUCUAAAAGUUCUACACUAAAAAUAUAAAUGUAACUUGGUAUGUACUUUUAUAAGUUUAUAUUUUUCUAUAUGUAGAAAAUUUAGUUCAAAGAAGGAUGUUGAUUCAACUAUGACUUCCAUUAUCAUUUUGCUUUAUCUUAUUCUUGUUACUUCUCUAAUUCCAAUUGUGGUUUUCAAUUAGCCAAUUUAUUGAUAAUAUAUAAGAGGAAAUGAAAAACUACCCAUUGUACAAACUGUUAAAAUUUUCAUUUGUUAAUUGUUGAUCAAGAUAAUAAUUAGGUAAUAUUUCUCCUAUUCUUUUUAACUAAAUGAAGUUGUUAUCUGGUUGAAUUAUUAAAAGAACUUGUUGGAUGGUUGUAUAAAGAGUACCCAUGAUACUCAAUGAGGGAGAAAAGGGAUUGGGAAUCUUUUGAACUUUGUUCCUCUUAUCUUUUUUAUUUUAAUUUUUAGGAUUUAAUCCUACAAAAAUAUGUUAAUAAAAUGCAUGAUGUCUACUGUUAUCAUUAGUCUUAAACUUUUUUGUACUUGCUAAUUUGUUUAAUUAUGAAUUUUUAUUUUGAUAAAUAUAAUAUAGUACUUUUCCUUAUCAUUUUGUAUAUCUAUAUAUGGUUGUAGUUUUAUAUUUAUUUUCAAACCAAAAAAAAAAUAAAAAAUAAGAAAUGCUUCAAAAGAAGUAAGAACAAAGGAAGAUGUUACAACAUCAAACGGUUCCUCAACUCUUUAAGUGACCUUUUUGGCCUUCUUAAAUUUAGGAAAUGUUAUAUUUCUUUAUUAGGUAAGUUGGAAGUAGAUUUUUUAUGCUUAUAAGAACCCAACCUUAUUAAAAACAAUUUUGAAAAUUGAAGCUUCAAACCUUGGGGAUGGUUGGUUGGUUCUAAGUUGCAGUAGGAAUUUACAAGAUCUAUUUAUUGUUGUUUUGUUUACGAAAUACCAAGAAUUGUAUUUCUUAAGAAAUUUAUGCUAGACAUGUGUUUUCUUUUGUUCCUGUCAAUUAACUGGGAACUCAAUCUUUAAGGUAUAAAAUUAAUUUCUCAUUCUAAAUAAUUCAAUUACAUAUCAUAUCUCAUCUUCACUUAUUGUAAUACCAUGGCUAAAUUAAGUUUUGCUUGAUGUCAAAAUUAGUAUUACUUUAGAAAGAAGACAAGGGAUUGUGUGCAGGAACAUGAUUUUCUUUAUUGUUGAGAAGAGAUUAAUGACUGUUAAGUAGGGAGUUCAAGUUGGAAAGCAAACUUGAAUAACCUAAAUUAUUUGUUAUAAAGGUUAGAUUGGUAACCCUACUUCAUUCAUCCCUGCACUAACACUAUGGGCUACUUCAUUCAAUCUCCCCUUCAUUAUGGAUAAUUAAUCUAAAUUGGGGAAAAAGUCACUUUUUGGGUUUAUCCUGGCCUCAUUCUUCUAGUUUUUAGCUAGUUUUUCAUUCCAACUAUUUGUCUCAAUCAUGCUUAUCCAAAAACCUUUAGAUUCCAAACAUCAUUCUAGAAAGCUUAUCUCUCUUCUCAAAAUGGCAAACUAUAACUUUACAAAACAAAAAAUACUAAUAUAUCUAUGCUUAGAUCUCUACCUCUUUUCAAACUAUAAGUAUAUCAUGUUAGUAUCAUAAAACUUUUUAUAUUUUAUAACUCCAUCAAAGGCUUAUUGGAUUGUGGUUCUAACUGUUUAUCAUGUUUAUGUAUUUUCCUUGCGUAAACAAUGGAAAAUUGAUGUUCAUUAAUGCCUUAUAUUUCACUUUGAGAUGGUGGAUAGAUUAAAUGAAGGAACUAUAUUUGUAAAAAUUGCUCCACUUGAUUAUGAAGAACUUUACAAGGCAAUAUAUAGCGGAUUUUUUUUUUCAUUUUGUAAUUCUUGAUAUGUUACAGAAUUUACAAGGCAAUUAUUUGAAAUGGUCUCAUAAGUAUAUGUGAAUUUAUUCCUUAUUUUAAUUCUUGAUAUGGUUUUCAGGUUUGUUGUGAAGUCCAUCUUCAAGGCACAUGUAGAAGGCCAACUUAAGGUAAAUAU
RNAcentral lists this long non-coding RNA (25683 nucleotides) under Vitis vinifera (wine grape). RNAcentral describes it as "long non-coding RNA (VVIN_LNC000497)". Lineage: Eukaryota; Viridiplantae; Streptophyta; Magnoliopsida; Vitales; Vitaceae. The record is from RNAcentral.